UUCUUAUUGGAUAAUAACUGUUAUGUGUCAUGUUCUAAUUGGAUGUCAACUCCAUAAAAGAUGAAAUGCAUUGUUGUUUUCAUUGACCAAUCAGAACAUGACACGUGACCAUUAUCAUCC
This is a non-coding RNA of Glycine max (soybean), 120 nucleotides long. Lineage: Eukaryota; Viridiplantae; Streptophyta; Magnoliopsida; Fabales; Fabaceae. The record is from Rfam.